RNAcentral lists this long non-coding RNA (5252 nucleotides) under Nicotiana tabacum (common tobacco). RNAcentral's name for it is "long non-coding RNA (NTAB_LNC002091)". Lineage: Eukaryota; Viridiplantae; Streptophyta; Magnoliopsida; Solanales; Solanaceae. The record is from RNAcentral.
CGACACUGACAAAGUCAUACUUAUUCUAAUAGUAUAGUAGGAUUAUCCAAAAAAAAAAGGAAUCAAUACCAUCAAGCUGACUAAAUAUUGAUACAAAAACAGUUAGAUUAUUCAUGUUUGUGGUGGUUCAACUAAUACAAAUAUUGAUGCUACAAUUAAAAGAAAAAAAAAAUAAAUUUUAACAACUGCAGUUGACAGCACAUGCUUUCAUCUUGGUAUCCACUGAAUGAAAAGAAAAUCAAGCAUUAGAAUCAAAACAUAUCGUACCAAGUCUAGCUAAAUCUUAGAUUAUCAACGAUGGAAAAUUUUCAAUAGUUAACCUAGUUGAAACACCCAUAUUGCUACAAUAUUGCUACAUUCAAGCAAGAAAAAAGCCAAAUGCCGUGAAAAUUUUAUACAGGACAUGUAAAGAGCUGAAAUAUAACAGAAUGUUGUUGCUCAUCUCACCCCUAAAAGUUAGAAACUAUUUACUAAGUGCAGCAAGAAUAGUGGCAGCAAGAAUAGCAUUGGCAAUUCACUGCAAAAAUUUAAUCUUGAAUGAUAUCUACUUGUACUCCCACAAACAUCAUCAACCUUAAUUGGUAGUUGUGUUGUCAAAGCCACAAGAUGAGAGCUGGAAAUUUUCGUUGCGCUUUUCAGCCAAAAAAAAAAAUCGUUGUGCUUUUUCCUUCUCCGCCCCAGCAAAGUUAAGUGUUAGUUGAGAAAUAACAUAGUAGGAAAAAUUAUAUUUAUAUGGUACAUGGACCAUAUGCAAGUUACCUAAGCAAUAAUAUAGUAGGAAAAAAUCAUUCCAGACAGAGCUAGUGGCAAUAAUCAGCAUGAACUUCAUCAUGUAAUAUGCUAUAAUUUCUUUUUCUUUUUUAAGAAAGAAACAUGCUAAUACUUCUUCCUCCCAUUAUCCAAUAUCACUCAUCGCCCGCAUGAAGUGCACCAUCUUAGAACAUGCUAUUAGCCCUUUUCACCUAUACGAUUCAACGUUAUACCAUAAUCAAAUAUUCAAUGGCAUUUGAACCUACCAGAAAAACGGAAAAGGAACUUUACCAAUAACAGUGGCCGUCAAAUGAACUUGUGUUGAGGAUAGUGGCUGAACUUCCAAUAAAAAGCAGUCCACGGUAAAAACUAUACAACAACAACAACAACAAACCCAGUAUAAUCCCAAUAGUGGGGUCAACGGUAAAACUAUAAUACUGGAUUAAUAUCACGAUAUAGUGUAGCUUAGCAAUGGUACCUUCAACAUGUAAUUUACAACCUGAGGCUUUUCUACUUAAUGAAUCUUGACUUUCUGAAAGCUAGUAAUCUCUUCAACCAUUGUUUAAUUGUGAAUUUUUCUGUUAGAUGCUUGAAGAGAACAGUGAGUAUUGGUUUUAAUAAAUGUUAGCAGCUUAUGUAGAGAGACGUUAUGAAAUAAGUGACAUAUUGACUCUUAUUACUUUCUUUUAGCAUGUCCUUCUUUCAAAUGGUCUCUCCAGUUUAUGGCUUGUACAGAAAGCCAUUGAGGCUUGAAUUUGUACAGCAAAGGGGACCCAUUCCUAAGUCUGUGAUUGCAGGAUAAAUAGAUACCAUCUUCGGAAGAAGCUACGAUCUAGUGAAGAAAACUCUGAAGCAACUCAGAUAUGUUUUUUCUCCUUUUCCUUUUUCAUCUACUGAUAAUAUUCCCCUAGAUUGACAUAGUUUUUCACUUUCUUGUAUAGGGUAUUACAUUCCACCAUAAAUUGUUGCUCUUCUUGACCACAAGGAACAUUCAACAGGAUGCUAGUACCAUUAAGGGAGUCGCCAUAAUUAAACUGUGCUCUCUUAUGUUUGCUAAAGCUACUUCUUUUGUUUUGCCACAUUGGCUUCCUAGAUAGUGCACUCAUUCAUGUGAGAGUAUUUUUUUCAAAAUAACUAUGAGAUAUUCCAGUUAAAUUCUAAAUAUCACCAAAAACAUGUAUUGUAUGCAGUAUGCAAAAGAAUGUACAUCGAUGGUUGUUAUACAGUGCUUACUUGUUUGGCAAAAGAAACUUCAAGUUAUCCCAAUUCCAUGGUCACCUUCUCAAAAGUUUCAAACUCAACCCUCCCAACCUGGUAUAAAAUAUGAAGCGGCAAAAUAAGUAGAUCACAUCGAGUCAAAGUAAAGAGAGGGAUGACUAUGAAAUACCUAGAGAUUGAACAUGCAAUACUUAAUUGUAGAGUAAAAUCCUAUCCAACUUGAACAAACAUAAAAUAUCUUAAUUAACGUCCACCAAAGCAGUACUAUUUUGCUAUCUUAUCUGCCAAAGAACAUAGAUCACUACUAUGUAAAAUAAUUCACCUAUAAUUACCCUGUGUACUUUAUUAUAAUCCAUAAAAGCCAUAUCUUGAACCUGGUGAGCUAAACAAAGAAAUCAAGCAUGACACAUCUAUAACAACGUUUAACCCCCCUGAUGCUUUCCUUUGCAACAGAGAGGGCUAUGCCAAUAGAACACAUAAAGAUUGAAGUUCUCACCUCUACUCAAUUCCUCCAUCUGAGAGGUACACCCAACUCUAUUUAUUUUAUUUCAUUCAUGUUCUACAAUAUUUUAUCUAAAUUACUUUUCUCGUUUAAGGAAAAAUAAGUGAAAAUUGAUCAAGUAUAAAAUUUUAGAGUUUUGUUGAGUAAGUAAAGAGGAGCACAAUUACAACCUCUUUUUUAUUUACCAUUUUUAGCAUAUACCCGUUUAAGUUUCACAUUUAUGUCAUAGACUACUGAGGCGCUUCAUGCACCUGCGUGAACAUGCAUGGCAUAGGUAAGCCUACUUCCUAUGAAUCGUUCAUCAUGCAAAAUAAUCUGCUUAAAAUUGACGCUAAUCCAUGUGUUCUCUGUCAAAUAUCCUCUUUCUCCAUCAACAUUCGACUUUAGCUGCAACUAAAAGGUUUCUAGACAAUACAUAAAACUUCCUCACACGCGUUCAAAGCUCAAUGAAAGUUUGGAUGCCUUUUUCCUUUUAACAUUUUGAACUCCUAAUAUGAAGAAAUAGAAAACCCAAUUCUCAUUGUUUGAUGUCUAUCUUGUCAAAACAUCAAAUUUUCAAAUAAAAAACUGCAUACCCCCAAGUAAAAAUGCUUCAACAACCGCUGUAAUUUUUUCCAAAGCUUACCAGUAAAUGAUCUACUCUCAAGUUGGCUCAUAAUCACAUCAUAAAGCAUCAAAGUUGCCUUUAUUGGACUCCUUAAAUAUCACAAGACUAAUAGAGAAUCUACAUAACUUUAAUAAGAACUUACUUGUCAAAAGCUAAGCUCUACAGAGCCAUCCAUUAACUUUUGGAGGUGGUUGAUUUUGAUAUCACUUUGUAUUCUUUGAUGGCCAAAUUUUCAGAAACAGUAAAUUGUUCGCCGGCCAGUUCGAUCAGCCAAUUAAACAAACUGCACAUAGAAUUAGAUAGUAAACCAAAUGCUUAAAAGAAAGAGCAAAAAGUGUCAUAUAAAAACUAAAAGUAUGGACCUAAUUUAGAAGAAUUACAUGCCCACUUCACAGCCAUAAUCAACCUAUUUUUAUGCCAAAAUUAAUUAUUUUUCUUCUUUUAAUAUAACAGGUAUUUUACUGUUUGUUUUUCAGCUCAAUGACAACGAAAGCAAUAUGUACCAGAAAGGACUCAUAUGUUAAAUGCAAAUUUAAUUUUUCCUUGAAGACAACUUGAAAAUUAGUAAUUAGUGUGCAAACCUUUUGGACCAUUUACUUGAAAGCAUUAUCCUUCUUUGAAGUUCUAGAACUUAACACUUCUAAAAGGGCAGGCCGGUGCACAAGGCUAGACGAAAAAAGAAAAUCAUCAUUGGGAGGUUUGACAUGUAACUCUCCUGUAACCAUAAUAUAUACAGUAAAUUAUCUAAAGAUGCUACUUAUUUGUUAUAGCCAAGUUAUAAAAGCAAUAAAUAAGAGGUAGUAUUAAUUUGCAACCAAAAGUAAAAUCUUAAAACCAUCACAGUACAAGAUUCCAUAUUCUCUCAAAAUAUUAUGAUAACAAAUUGACAACAGUCCACCAAAGAAUCACUUUCGGCUAUCAUCAUGUAUAUAAAUUGUGGCUUGUUAACUGCAUGGAGUUGUUGAGUAACCUAAGACUUUUAGAGAAAAUGAGGAGGUAUAUAUUUGUAACAGUAUAAUGUGUGACUCUAAUUCUCAUACGAAUUUUUAGCAUGGGAGAUGUAAUGUCUAGGCUUUUUUCAGUGAAUAAAAUGCCAUUUGGAAUAGUUCUAGUAUAUAUGAAGAAAAACUCAGUGGAAGUUACAAGAGUAAAAAGUGGUGAGAAUCUCAAUAGGAAAAAUAUAAAGCCAAUAUAAGCAAUCUUCCUUCACACAAUUAUCACAACUAAAGUUGGACAUAAGUAAUAGAAGCUCACCACUUAUGUUUAUCCGAUUUUUACCUGUUAAUCUCCAAUGUAUUUGAUUUCAAGAAAAAGGGACAGAGUAACAUUAGUUGAUGCAACUCAAAGACUGAUCAAGAAAAGAAGGAAAAACUAAUAGGGGAGACAUAUACUACAACCAUCCGAAAAAUUGUUGAAUACGUGAAAAAUCAAACAAAACAACCAGCAUUAAAAUGGUAUAGAUACUGAACCAAGCUACAAUCUGCAACAAAACAACAAAUGAAAAAACCAAAAACUAAAAAUCAAAAAGAGAUUAUAUUUCCAGAAUAAUAUACAACCAAGCUAACACAUGCAGCACAAAGAGCAACUUGUUGAAAAUAAGGGAAAAUCAUAACCUGAAAUUUUUAUGUGAAACAGGAUUUGAACACCUGCAGCGCAAAAAAUUUAUUUAAAUUAAAUGCGGUAUAAAUUCACUGACUCCCUGCUAAUUAGUAGGGAGGAAACAGAAAGUUCACAAGAAAAUUUCAAAAGAAACCAAAAAAGAAGAGGACUAAGCAGAGAAGCAGAAGAUUGAAAACAAAACCUGAGCGGAAACAGAAGUACAGAAAAGAAGAAAACUCAGAAGAAGAAAGAACGGCAGCGAGAGAAAGCAAAUAAUAGACGCAUGCAUGUAGGAAAGAACAUCAGAACUAUCGAAAAACAGAGAUCAGUUACCAGAAUUUCCUCUGAUCUUCAGUAAUGUGUUGAAUCCUAUGAAAUAUGUACAUGGAUCUUUAAUUCUCUUAAAGAAAGGAUAAUCAGCAGGGUCAAUUUGGACUCCAAUUCGAAAAUUUGAAAGAAAACCCUAUGGAGGCACGAAAAAGAGCAAACCAGCAACGACAUCAACGAUACAGUAUAAUCCCGCAAAUAUGGGGUGGGGAGGAUAAUAUAUAGGCAGAAUUUAAUUCUAUCCCGAAG